RNAcentral lists this ribosomal RNA (384 nucleotides) under uncultured bacterium. RNAcentral's name for it is "bacterial SSU rRNA". It matches the Rfam family "Bacterial small subunit ribosomal RNA", at positions 30 to 414 of the family's 1533-position model. The record is from RNAcentral.
AUUGAACGCUGGCGGCAUGCCUUACACAUGCAAGUCGAACGGCAGCACGGGAGCAAUCCUGGUGGCGAGUGGCGAACGGGUGAGUAAUAUAUCGGAACGUGCCCAGUCGUGGGGAUAACGUAGCGAAAGCUACGCUAAUACCGCAUACGAUCUAUGGAUGAAAGCGGGGGAUCGCAAGACCUCGCGCGAUUGGAGCGGCCGAUAUCAGAUUAGGUAGUUGGUGAGGUAAAGGCUCACCAAGCCGACGAUCUGUAGCUGGUCUGAGAGGACGACCAGCCACACUGGGACUGAGACACGGCCCCAGACUCCUACGGGAGGCAGCAGUGGGGAAUAUUGGACAAUGGGCGAAGACCUGAUCCAGCAAUGCCGCGUGAGUGAUGAAGG